This 433-nucleotide ribosomal RNA is filed under the name uncultured bacterium. RNAcentral describes it as "partial 16S ribosomal RNA". It matches the Rfam family "Bacterial small subunit ribosomal RNA", at positions 29 to 507 of the family's 1533-position model. The record is from RNAcentral.
AGCGAACGCUGGCGGCAGGCCUAACACAUGCAAGUCGAACGAACUCUUCGGAGUUAGUUGCGGACGGGUGAGUAACACGUGGGAACUUGCCUUUUGGUUCGGAAUAACUCAGGGAAACUUGUGCUAAUACCGAAUGUGCCCUUCGGGGGAAAGAUUUAUUGCCAUUAGAGCGGCCCGCGUCUGAUUAGCUAGUUGGGGAGGUAACGGCUCACCAAGGCGACGAUCAGUAGCUGGUCUGAGAGGAUGACCAGCCACACUGGGACUGAGACACGGCCCAGACUCCUACGGGAGGCAGCAGUGGGGAAUCUUGCGCAAUGGGCGAAAGCCUGACGCAGCCAUGCCGCGUGAAUGAUGAAGGUCUUAGGAUUGUAAAAUUCUUUCAACGGGGACGAUAAUGACGGUACCCGGAGAAGAAGCCCCGGCUAACUUCGUG